Molecule: transfer RNA, 75 nt
Filed under: Herminiimonas arsenicoxydans
Lineage: Bacteria; Pseudomonadati; Pseudomonadota; Betaproteobacteria; Burkholderiales; Oxalobacteraceae
Also listed under: 4 other names
Description: tRNA-Arg (CCT) (tRNA-Arg-CCT-1-1)
Rfam family: tRNA
About the family: Transfer RNA (tRNA) molecules are approximately 80 nucleotides in length. Their secondary structure includes four short double-helical elements and three loops (D, anti-codon, and T loops).
Source: RNAcentral
CUCGCCGUAGUUCAAUGGAUAGAACGAGUGCCUCCUAAGCGCUAGAUACAGGUCCGAUUCCUGUCGGCGGGACCA